AGAGUUUGAUCCUGGCUCAGGAUGAACGCUGGCGGCGUGCUUAACACAUGCAAGUCGAACGGGAAACCUUUUAUUGAAGCUUCGGCAGAUUUAGAUUGUUUCUAGUGACGGACGGGUGAGUAACGCGUGGGUAACCUGCCUUAUACAGGGGGAUAACAGUCAGAAAUGACUGCUAAUACCGCAUAAGCGCACAGAGCUGCAUGGCUCGGUGUGAAAAACUCCGGUGGUAUAAGAUGGACCCGCGUUGGAUUAGCUAGUUGGUGAGGUAACGGCCCACCAAGGCGACGAUCCAUAGCCGGCCUGAGAGGGUGAACGGCCACAUUGGGACUGAGACACGGCCCAGACUCCUACGGGAGGCAGCAGUGGGGAAUAUUGCACAAUGGGGGAAACCCUGAUGCAGCGACGCCGCGUGAAGGAAGAAGUAUCUCGGUAUGUAAACUUCUAUCAGCAGGGAAGAAUUAGGACGGUACCUGACUAAGAAGCCCCGGCUAACUACGUGCCAGCAGCCGCGGUAAUACGUAGGGGGCAAGCGUUAUCCGGAUUUACUGGGUGUAAAGGGAGCGUAGACGGAUGGACAAGUCUGAUGUGAAAGGCUGGGGCUCAACCCCGGGACUGCAUUGGAAACUGCCCGUCUUGAGUGCCGGAGAGGUAAGCGGAAUUCCUAGUGUAGCGGUGAAAUGCGUAGAUAUUAGGAGGAACACCAGUGGCGAAGGCGGCUUACUGGACGGUAACUGACGUUGAGGCUCGAAAGCGUGGGGAGCAAACCAGGAUUAGAUACCCUGGUAGUCCACGCGGUAAACGAU
This 803-nucleotide ribosomal RNA is filed under the name uncultured bacterium. Its description in RNAcentral is "bacterial SSU rRNA". It matches the Rfam family "Bacterial small subunit ribosomal RNA", at positions 8 to 810 of the family's 1533-position model. The record is from RNAcentral.